Molecule: long non-coding RNA, 361 nt
Organism: Symphalangus syndactylus (siamang)
Lineage: Eukaryota; Metazoa; Chordata; Mammalia; Primates; Hylobatidae
Source: RefSeq, a predicted model, not a curated record
CCAUUCUCAGUGAGUGAGUUCUCAUGAGAUUUGAUUGUUUAAAAGUAUAUGGCACCUCACCCUUCUCUCUCUCCCUCCGCUCCUCCUCCAGCCAUGUAAGAUAUGCCUGCUUCCCCUUCGCCUUCUGCCAUGAUUGAAAGCUUCCUGAGGCCUCCCUAGAAGCCAAGCAGAUGCCAACAUCAUGCUUCCUGUACAGCCUGUGGAACUGAAAUUGGGAACCUACCAUGUACUGGAAUAACUGCUGGGAACACGGCGAACUAUGUGGCCACUAUCCCUGGAAAGAAAGAAUUCGGCUUUGGACAAGGAUAAAUGAAGCCAUGAAAGGAGGCUUUUAUUACUAUUAGCAACUACAACAGCCCUG